AUUGAACGCUGGCGGCAGGCCUAACACAUGCAAGUCGAACGGUAACAGGAAGCAGCUUGCUGCUUCGCUGACGAGUGGCGGACGGGUGAGUAAUGUCUGGGAAGCUGCCUGAUGGAGGGGGAUAACUACUGGAAACGGUAGCUAAUACCGCAUAAUGUCGCAAGACCAAAGAGGGGGACCUUCGGGCCUCUUGCCAUCGGAUGUGCCCAGCUGGAUUAGCUUGUUGGUGGGGUAACGGCUCACCAAGGCGACGAUCCCUAGCUGGUCUGAGAGGAUGACCAGCCACACUGGAACUGGGACACGGUCCAGACUCCUGCGGGAGGCAGCAGUGGGGAAUAUUGCACAAUGGGCGCAAGCCUGAUGCAGCCAUGCCGCGUGUAUGAAGAAGGCCUUCGGGUUGUAAAGUACUUUCAGCGGGGAGGAAGGGAGUAAAGUUAAUACCUUUGCUCAUUGACGUUACCCGCAGAAGAAGCACCGGCUAACUCCGUG
Molecule: ribosomal RNA, 489 nt
Filed under: uncultured bacterium
Lineage: Bacteria
Description: partial 16S ribosomal RNA
Rfam family: Bacterial small subunit ribosomal RNA
Source: RNAcentral